CGGGUCCUUCUCCUGCCCACGUGAAGGAAGAAGGCGCAGUGGGGCUGAGGCCUCACUAGGGCACCCACACGGAGCGCUGCGCUCAGCCUUCUGGACCCGGUACCUCCCCAGGCUCUGAGGACAGCAGCAGCCCCAGGACGGACGGAGUUCUUCGGGCUGGGAAGUCCAAGAUCAAGGCACUACCAUGUGAUGCAGGCAGAAGGUGGAAGGACAAAAGGGAAGAAACCUCAUGUCCCCACAUGGUGGAAAAGCAGAAGUGCAAGAGAGAACCAGGAUCUUACUUUGUCACCCAGGCUGGAAUGCAGUGGCCCAAUCAUGGCUUACUGCAGCCUCGACCUCCUGCACUCAAGCGAUCCUCCCACCUCAGCGUCUGGAGUAGCUGGGACCACAGGCGUGUGCCAUCACACCUUACAAAUUUUUGUGUAUUUUGUACAGAUGGGGCUUCACCAUGUUGCUCAGGCUGGUCUCAAACUCCUGGGCUAAAACAAUCUGUCUGCCUCAGCCUUCCAAAGUGCUGAGAUUACAGGCAUGAGCCACAGUGCCUGGCCAAAGUAUUUCUUUAUACAUGUGUCUUUAUGUGUAUGAUUAUUUAUAUACCUAUAUAUAUAAUACUGACAACUGUUAAAGAUACCAAAAAGCACAAAGACGAGUAAAAAGAGUGAAUAUAACACAACAAAUGCCAACUCAGAGAGAACAAGUGUUAACAUUUUGUCCUGCUUGUUUCCAGGGUUUUAAAAAACUAAGUAAAUAAAACAUUCAAAUUCUUCUGAUCCC
RNAcentral lists this long non-coding RNA (774 nucleotides) under Homo sapiens (human). RNAcentral describes it as "PREDICTED lncRNA (TCONS_00189494)". Lineage: Eukaryota; Metazoa; Chordata; Mammalia; Primates; Hominidae. The record is from RNAcentral.